AACGAACGCUGGCGGCAUGCCUAACACAUGCAAGUCGAACGAGAUCUUCGGGUCUAGUGGCGCACGGGUGCGUAACGCGUGGGAAUCUGCCCUUUGGUUCGGAAUAACAGUUGGAAACGACUGCUAAUACCGGAUGAUGACGAAAGUCCAAAGAUUUAUCGCCAGAGGAUGAGCCCGCGUAGGAUUAGCUAGUUGGUGUGGUAAAGGCGCACCAAGGCGACGAUCCUUAGCUGGUCUGAGAGGAUGAUCAGCCACACUGGGACUGAGACACGGCCCAGACUCCUACGGGAGGCAGCAGUGGGGAAUAUUGGACAAUGGGCGAAAGCCUGAUCCAGCAGUGCCGCGUGAGUGAUGAAGGACUUAGGGUUGUAAAGCUCUUUUACCCGGGAUGAUAAUGACAGUACCGGGAGAAUAAGCUCCGGCUAACUCCGUGCCAGCCGCCGCGGUAA
RNAcentral lists this ribosomal RNA (449 nucleotides) under uncultured bacterium. RNAcentral's name for it is "partial 16S ribosomal RNA". It matches the Rfam family "Bacterial small subunit ribosomal RNA", at positions 29 to 523 of the family's 1533-position model. The record is from RNAcentral.